UUUUUUCAAUACAUUAUUUUAUUACAAUGUUCCCUCUCCACUUUACGUUUCAUUUACUUUACGGUCUUGGAUAUGAAUUUUAAAAUUGAACAUUUUUAGAAACAUGUAUUAUAGCAUCUAUUUGACAUUACCCGCGGUAUAUUCAGUAGUGACUCUGCUUUGACCGCAUGACAUCGUACACGGCACACUGAUGAAAGACCAACAAAGCACUGUGUUCUCUGUCCAAGCAGCUGAUUGUGUUGUCUAAACAUUCUAUGUGCUCACGAGCUCAAACGUACUAUGAACGCAGCAGACUCCGCGGGGAAAGUCCGCAGUCAUCAGAGCUGCCAUAAUCAGUCAUUGUAAUUACCUGUGAAAUUUCAGUCAAAAACAGCAAUGUUGUUUACAUUUGUCUGUCUUGGUGCCUUCCACUGACGUCGAGGAAGCGGAGCUGUUGUACUUGAUAGCUUUGCGAAUAAGUAAAAUACGAGAAGCACAGUGGGUGGCUGUAGCUCCGAGUACUGGCUAUCGGCUGCUUCGAGCAAGGUGUUGCAGCCACUUAUUGACUGGACACAUCAGCUGUGUCUGAAAUUUUCUCAAAUGUUCUGUGUCAUGUAAGUUCCAGUAUGUUUGGGCGUAAGGUCUUCUGGCGCAGAACUUGAUACCCAGAGGGAGCUGCUUACCAUUGUGUAAAAGGAGGAAAAUAAUAUAAAGAUGAUGGCAACAGUGUCUUUAAAAAGACUGCGCCAACAACUCUCCAAGACUUUGUCCGUAAUGCGAAAGAAGACACAAGUGACGCUGCCACUAUCGUCAUUAUUUAGUGUAAGUACCAAUUUAUUAUAUGCUACAGUUGUAUUACUAUAACAAGUGUUUGAGUGUGUGUGAAAGGUUAUUAACCACAUGUUGAUUAAAUUACAUACAAUAUUCAUAUAAAUCAUAAAUCAAAUAUCGUCUACUACAACAUGGAAAUUCACUUAUUACAGGGUCUGCCAAACUCCGGCGAUAAUCUGGGGACACUGUAUUGGUAUUUAAU
This is a long non-coding RNA of Entelurus aequoreus (snake pipefish), 1012 nucleotides long. RefSeq lists it as uncharacterized. NCBI's taxonomy places the organism in Eukaryota, Metazoa, Chordata, Actinopteri, Syngnathiformes, Syngnathidae. The record is from RefSeq and is a predicted model, not a curated record. The transcript is spliced from 3 exons.